UAUAUCUAAUUUCCUAAGCAGAAAUGAUAUAGGGAAUUUUUUUUUAUUAUUAAAAAAAAGUAUGAGAGCUCUUUCUGCCUAGGUGAUCACCUCCUGCUUUAAUUUUGGGAUUAGCAGCCUAAAAUUAAUACUUAAAGAUAAUAAAUAAAAACACAAAAUUUUAAAAAUAAAGAAAAAUCUAAAAAACAUUUAAAUUAAAUUAAAUUAAAUUAAAUUAAAUCAAAUUAAAUUAAAUCAAAUUAAAUUAAAUUAAUUUUAUCUUGGCACAGAGCAAGCGGGAAGUUACUUAGCAAGGUUCCGGGUUUCCCCACGCCCCGCCCGGCCUACCACAGCUAAAUGGUUUUCGUCCUUGGGGUGCUCUGUCCUGCGGAAAGCAAUCCGUGUCCAUCUGUCCCAGCUCUGCCCGCCCGCCUCGCAUCUACCCUUCUCUUCUGACUCCGCCCCACAUCUGUCCGGAACCGCCUCCCGCUGAAGCUGACCCAGUGCGCGUCCGCCAGUCAGUCCCUCCGGACCUGCCGCGAGUCUCAGACUGCCGAAAUUACCGCGCGUCACUCGCCUCAACAGUGAUUCUGAAACUGCUUUUAGCUUCCUUCGCCUUGGCUUUCUUCUUUUUGUGAACAGCUGCUUGGCCCAUAGCUUAGAGAAAUCAGCCUUUUUUUCUCUCCCGCGAAAGCCUCCUUCCUGUGCUUAAAAAGAUGGGGAGUGGAGAGCCUAAUCCUGCUGGCAAGAAAAAGAAGUACCUCAAGGCUGCCCUGUACGUGGGUGACUUGGACCCAGAUGUUACUGAGGACAUGUUAUAUAAAAAGUUCAGGCCUGCUGGCCCUCUGCGCUUCACCCGAAUCUGCCGUGACCCUGUGACCCGCAGCCCCCUGGGCUAUGGCUAUGUUAACUUCCGCUUUCCUGCAGAUGCUGAGUGGGCCCUGAAUACCAUGAAUUUUGAUUUGAUUAAUGGCAAACCUUUCCGCCUCAUGUGGUCUCAGCCAGAUGACCGCUUAAGAAAGUCUGGAGUUGGAAAUAUAUUCAUCAAAAACCUGGACAAAUCCAUAGAUAAUAGGGCCCUUUUUUAUUUAUUUUCUGCUUUUGGGAACAUUCUCUCCUGCAAAGUCGUAUGUGAUGACAAUGGCUCUAAGGGUUAUGCCUAUGUGCACUUUGACAGCCUGGCCGCUGCCAAUAGAGCCAUCUGGCAUAUGAAUGGGGUGCGGCUCAACAACCGCCAGGUGUAUGUUGGUAGAUUCAAAUUCCCAGAAGAGAGGGCAGCUGAAGUCAGAACCAAGGAUAGAGCAACUUUCACUAAUGUUUUUGUUAAAAACUUCGGAGAUGACAUGGAUGAUGAAAAACUGAAGGAAAUCUUUAGUGGAUAUGGGCCAACUGAGAGUGUUAAGCCUUUUUCAGCUUUUCAAAACAGUCACUGUACAAACUUCAAAUGUGCCCAGGAGAAGAAAAUUAAGAACAUUGCUUUGUGAUUGUAAACCAUCAUAUUAAAAGUUAUUCUGGUGAGACUAUUCUGUACAAAAAACUUCAUAUACUGUUGCCUUUCUGGUUGUAUCUAUGAUUAAGGGUACAAACAAAAUGUUACAUGUUAAGUGAUAUUUUCAGUACAGGGGAAAAUGUAAGAAUACUAUGUGUUUAAGGGAAUAUUUAGGAAUGGUGUGAAUGCCAUCCUACCUAUAAAUAAAUGGCUUUAUUUAAGGAAAUAGUUUAAAAUG
RNAcentral lists this long non-coding RNA (1706 nucleotides) under Felis catus (domestic cat). RNAcentral describes it as "lncRNA (ENSFCAG00000004998.5)". The record is from RNAcentral. Lineage: Eukaryota; Metazoa; Chordata; Mammalia; Carnivora; Felidae.